UACGGGGGGGGCAAGCGUUGUUCGGAAUUACUGGGCGUAAAGGGCGCGUAGGCGGCCUGCUAAGUCACACGUGAAAUCCCUCGGCUCAACCGGGGAACUGCGUGUGAUACUGGCGGGCUUGAGUUCGGGAGAGGGAUGUGGAAUUCCAGGUGUAGCGGUGAAAUGCGUAGAUAUCUGGAGGAACACCGGUGGCGAAGGCGGCAUCCUGGACCGAGAUUGACGCUGAGGCGCGAAAGCUAGGGUAGCAAACGGG
This 253-nucleotide ribosomal RNA is filed under the name uncultured bacterium. RNAcentral describes it as "partial 16S ribosomal RNA". It matches the Rfam family "Bacterial small subunit ribosomal RNA", at positions 524 to 776 of the family's 1533-position model. The record is from RNAcentral.